CGCCGUCGCAUUGUGCUCUUUCGAGUUGUUGUUGCUGCCAUGCUUCCUCGUCAUUGUGCUUCCUUGUCGUCCUGCUCUUCUGAGUUAUAGGUGAAACUACAGCAGCUACAACAGAACAAAGACUUGUCUGUGCUUAUUGCUUUGGAGAAAAUUGAUGAACUAUUGAUGCAAAACCCAGAAAUUGCAUCUGAUAUUUCUCCAAAUGAUCUAAUUGGUGUCAUAUUUGGUAAAGAGCAUCCAUGUCGUGUUAGAGGAUUAUCAUUGGGAGCUUGUCCUACCCUUGCUUUUAAGCAUACCACCACAAGGCUAAGUGGUGUCACCUUUGGUUCAACUAGUGCAAGUGCAGAAAAUAUGGAAGAAAAGUUUGCAGAUAUGCAAAAUGAACUUGCAACUGUUAAAUCUCAAAUGCAAACACUUCUUUCUUAUAUUGCUAGAGGAUGCAACAUACCUGAAGAUUUGGCUGCUAUGGCUGCUGGCUUAGUUCAUACUUCUGUUAAUCAAGUAUGUAAUUAAAUAGUUGAAAAUGAUUGAGUUAAGAAAUGUGCAUAUGUUGUCUUAGUUUUAUUGUAUU
This is a long non-coding RNA of Cajanus cajan (pigeon pea), 571 nucleotides long. RefSeq lists it as uncharacterized. The record is from RefSeq and is a predicted model, not a curated record. Lineage: Eukaryota; Viridiplantae; Streptophyta; Magnoliopsida; Fabales; Fabaceae.